AUACGGAGGGUCCGAGCGUUAAUCGGAAUUACUGGGCGUAAAGCGCGCGUAGGUGGUUCAGUCAGUCAGAUGUGAAAGCCCCGGGCUCAACCUGGGAACUGCACCUGAUACUGCUGAGCUAGAGUACGGUAGAGGGCAGUGGAAUUUCCGGUGUAGCGGUGAAAUGCGUAGAGAUCGGAAGGAACACCAGUGGCGAAGGCGACUGCAUGGACGGAUACUGACACUGAGGUGCGAAAGCGUGGGUAGCAAACAGGAUUAGAUACCCUGGUAGUCCACGCCGUAAACGAUGUCAACUAGCCGUUGGGGGACUUGAGCCGUUAGUGGCGAAGCUAACGCGAUAAGUUGACCGCCUGGGGAGUACGGCCGCAAGGUUAAAACUCAAAUGAAUUGACGGGG
RNAcentral lists this ribosomal RNA (396 nucleotides) under uncultured bacterium. RNAcentral describes it as "partial 16S ribosomal RNA". It matches the Rfam family "Bacterial small subunit ribosomal RNA", at positions 523 to 918 of the family's 1533-position model. The record is from RNAcentral.